This is a long non-coding RNA of Plodia interpunctella (Indianmeal moth), 1700 nucleotides long. RefSeq lists it as uncharacterized. The transcript is spliced from 2 exons. The record is from RefSeq and is a predicted model, not a curated record. Lineage: Eukaryota; Metazoa; Arthropoda; Insecta; Lepidoptera; Pyralidae.
AUCGCAUCUCUCAAAACCAUUGUUUGCUAUAUUAACUGCCCAUCAGAAUUCAAAUCGCGAUUCUGUCUUGGACAGCCGAUUGAAAAUCGCCAGGUAGCUAUGGAAGCUAUAUUAUUCCAUUGUCCACGUGUAAUGUUUACACUCUAUUUGGCGCCAUGAUAGGCGUUGUUAGAAGUAAGAUGUAUUAUAUUUAAUCACCUCAUACAAAAAUACAUCUAAAAUUGCUAUUUAUCUCUCUCACUCUAACGUGUAAUUCACGGCUGUGAUUCCAUCCAUUGAUUAGAAAAAUUGUUGAUUGAAAUCAUAUGUCACAUUAUUUUCUACUGUUUUUCUCAAUCAUAAGUUAGCAAUAUCAUAGCUUUUUAAUAUAUUGAUUUAUUUUUUAUCUUUACAUUAUUGCAAAUCCACAUCAACGCCUAAUAUUUAAAAUACAAUAAGCAUUCGAUUUGAGUACAUAAUAACGCGCAUUUAUUCGCUUAGUUGACUGAUCCACAGGGGGCAGUCAAGGGAGAACUUAUCAAGAUAAACUGACAAUGAGACCACCCACAAUGGUCACUACCACCGAACAUAUGUACCGGAUUAGUAGGUCCAACCCAUAAAAAUUAAAUUGGUCGCAUAAACAUUGACCCAAUGUCGCCAUCGACAACCCACAAUGCGUAGUUUAAUCUCGUGUUAUAGUUAUAGCUUGCUUAAAAUUCCGCAAUGUAUCCGUCAUCGAUUGGCCGCAAACUUUGAUCCAACAUGUGUUUAGCCGAAUUGAGGCAAAUGUGUGUUAUCUGUUAUCAAUCUAGUAAUUAUAACUAUAAAGGCUAUAAAGAAGCGGUCCAUUGGAUUAAUUGAAUUUCUAUUUAGCGUACCGAGUCUAAAAGUAAUUUCUUAGUCAGCGGAAUUGGGUGCCCUCAUAUCAUAUUGAAAUUGCUAGAAAGAGAAAAGUGGUAAAUAUUUUUUUUUUAUUCAUUUAAUUAUUUAUUACUUUACCAGUGGCCCGUUUGGGCUUGGCUUGGGUGGUAUAAAAAUAGAUACUAACAGCCUAUUCUCAGAUCUACUGAUUGAUUAUACAUAUUAAAUUUCAUCAAAACCUAUAGUCAAGGAAUUUAUGUGUACCAUGCCAACCAUAAAUACACCUAAAAAAAUGCUCGACCUACUUGAAAAGUGCAGGCAACCAAACUAUAAAAAGAACAUUACAGUCAUUAUCCAUAUGUCAAAAAGUCAAUUUACUAAUGUCAAAUUCUUGUAACAAAAACACACAAGGCAACAAUCGUAACUGUAAAAAAUUUACAAAAAAUAUGUAAAGUUAGGAAAUCUGUGAAAGAUCGCCGCGACGAUGAUAAAUAUACUGCAGAUAUUCGUUGCGGUGGUUACCUUCUUGCUGUUCCUCCUCAGACAGAAAUGUCCGUUUUCACAAAUACGUUCAAAAUUGGGUAGACCCAUAUCCUACUAUCAAGACUGUUCCAACGGCCAGGAUAAUUCAGACGAUACAACCAACUACGUGGUGCUGCGACCCCGCUACGAUUGGUCAUCAACAAAUAGAUCAAGUAUUAUGCCUAAGCACAAACGUGAUCCCCAAAUAAGCGUCGACAAUGAGGAUAUAGACUACCAACCAUUGGAUUAAUAUACUGAUAUAACAAUAUAUUUAUUCAACUGUAACAAUUUAUAUAUUCAACUGUAUUUUAAUUUUAUUGAGAAAUAAUUUGAUCCGA